This 229-nucleotide ribosomal RNA is filed under the name uncultured bacterium. RNAcentral describes it as "partial 16S ribosomal RNA". It matches the Rfam family "Bacterial small subunit ribosomal RNA", at positions 104 to 334 of the family's 1533-position model. The record is from RNAcentral.
CGGGGUGAGUAAUGUAUGGGGAUCUGCCUGAUGGCGGGGGAUAACUACUGGAAACGGUAGCUAAUACCGCAUAACGUCGCAAGACCAAAGAGGGGGACCUUCGGGCCUCUUGCCAUCGGAUGUGCCCAGAUGGGAUUAGCUAGUAGGUGGGGUAAUGGCUCACCUAGGCGACGAUCCCUAGCUGGUCUGAGAGGAUGACCAGCCACACUGGAACUGAGACACGGUCCAG